This 762-nucleotide ribosomal RNA is filed under the name uncultured Sordariomycetes. RNAcentral's name for it is "SSU rRNA". It matches the Rfam family "Eukaryotic small subunit ribosomal RNA", at positions 804 to 1590 of the family's 1831-position model. The record is from RNAcentral. Lineage: Eukaryota; Fungi; Ascomycota; Sordariomycetes.
UUAGCAUGGAAUAAUAGAAUAGGACGUGUGGUUCUAUUUUGUUGGUUUCUAGGACCGCCGUAACGAUUAAUAGGGACAGUCGGGGGCAUCAGUAUUCAAUUGUCAGAGGUGAAAUUCUUGGAUUUAUUGAAGACUAACUACUGCGAAAGCAUUUGCCAAGGAUGUUUUCAUUAAUCAGGAACGAAAGUUAGGGGAUCGAAGACGAUCAGAUACCGUCGUAGUCUUAACCAUAAACUAUGCCGACUAGGGAUCGGACGAUGUUAUAUUUUGACUCGUUCGGCACCUUACGAGAAAUCAAAGUGCUUGGGCUCCAGGGGGAGUAUGGUCGCAAGUCUGAAACUUAAAGAAAUUGACGGAAGGGCACCACCAGGGGUGGAGCCUGCGGCUUAAUUUGACUCAACACGGGGAAACUCACCAGGUCCAGACACAAUGAGGAUUGACAGAUUGAGAGCUCUUUCUUGAUUUUGUGGGUGGUGGUGCACGGCCGUUCUUAGUUGGUGGAGUGAUUUGUCUGCUUAAUUGCGAUAACGAACGAGACCUUAACCUGCUAAAUAGCCCGUAUUGCUUUGGCAGUACGCUGGCUUCUUAGAGGGACUAUCGGCUCAAGCCGAUGGAAGUUUGAGGCAAUAACAGGUCUGUGAUGCCCUUAGAUGUUCUGGGCCGCACGCGCGCUACACCGACGGAGCCAGCGAGUACUUCCUUGGCCGAAAGGCCCGGGUAAUCUUGUUAAACUCCGUCGUGCUGGGGAUAGAGCAUUGCAAU